Long non-coding RNA from Chelonus insularis, 1845 nucleotides. RefSeq lists it as uncharacterized. The record is from RefSeq and is a predicted model, not a curated record. The transcript is spliced from 5 exons. NCBI's taxonomy places the organism in Eukaryota, Metazoa, Arthropoda, Insecta, Hymenoptera, Braconidae.
CCCAACAACGAGGAGUGUGUUAAGAAAAGGAUGUAAUAUAACUGUCGGUUCAUUGAGUGAAGGAAGAAGAAUUAGAAUACCAGUAGUUCAGUAGAAAUCAGUUACGUUGAAGCCCUUGAAAAGAUCCAAAUAAUGAUUCGUGACACACGUGGUAAUGUUGGAGGUUUUUUAAAAAAUCGUUGCAACAAACUGGCUUUGUGUUGGAUCCAGUUCAACAACAAUGUCCAGUUACAACGGACAUGUUGCGUCGUCAAUGAAGAAAUAUCAAGGAACUGGAUCCAACCCUCAAUAGACAGUGGACACUGGGUACCCAGUGGUCAUCCCUAAAUGUUCCCGUGCGAUUAAGAUCCGCGAUGGCCAAAAGGUGUCUAGGUCAAUCACAAGCAGGUGAUCAUCAAGACAAACGCCAUGUCCAUUUGGCUUGUAUGGAUCCCAAUGAAUUUGGAGUUGGAAUAUGGGAGUCUCUCAUUGAGAAACCGGAUUGGCAAUCUGAAUAAUUUAUAUACGAAUGACCAUCCAGAGAGAAAGAGUACAAUGAGGGAUAUAGACCAGUUCAACGAAUCCACAUGUCUCCGUGCUUGGCUAUCCGUUGUAGCCAUUUCUCUACCUACUAUGGACUCACCAUCGUCAUCAUCCAGUGUGUGCUCGAGAAUUCGAUGAAUCGUUCGCACGCAUUGGAAUCACGCGAGAGCUAUUGAUGCUGAAAUAGUGUACAAAAAAAUAUCACGAAUUCAUUUCUUUAUACCAAUAAUCAGCAGUUUUAUCUCAACACAAAUACCAUUGGGAAACUAUCAGAAAUCAUUUUUCUCUUCAUUCCAUCAAGCUUGGAAUUUUUUUCUUCAACUUCCAUCCAUUUUUAAAAUGACUUUCAUUGGAUAUAACCUAACAUUUUUAUUGUCCAAUAAACAUUAAAUACAAGAGACAACAAAAAACAAGGGUUAAUUAAUUUUGCAAAGGAAAAAAAUAUGAAAAAUCCAACAAUUGGUUGGAAUAAACCCUUUCUCUUUUAUCGAAUAAUCUCGUGGCCCUCUGGAGAGAAAUCUGAAGGCUGGAAGCAGUGGAAGGUCGUCUUCAGGAGCAACGCAUAUGAGGCGUGGCUCAUCAUUGGACUUGGAUCAGAAAAUAAACAUGGUUUCAUUGACCACCUAUAGACGCCGAUACCAGUCGAUGAGGUAGAGAAAAUGACAAUAUCACCGCGAUCUGAUUUACUUACAGAUGAAACUUCAGAUCUGUGCUUCUCAUCUUGUGAUCUGUAUCACUUCUAUUCCUAAUUUCAAAGAGAAGAGUCUUUAGAUUAAUAUAAGAGUAAGUAUGGCAUUUAUUAUUUCCAAUAUUAUUGCUUGAAUUUGAUAUAUUCUAUAAAAUAAUUAAUUCUGCAUCGAUUGGAAUUGAAAAAUAGGAAUCUUUCUGAUAAUUUAAGCGAAAUAAUUCAUUUUCAAGUUCACGAAUUCGGAAAAUAGUACAUUUCACACCUAGGGAGGGAAAGUAGUCUUUUUCAAACCUCGGUAAAAUUACCACCGAAGGCGAGGGUGGUAAACAAGUGAUUUAAGCUCAUUUACUUUCCGUCUCUCGGUUAAUAAUAUACUAUUUUCGUCACCUCGGCAUAGAAAGUGAACUUUCCGGCACGGGUAUGACGAAAAUAAAAUUUUUACUUAUUAAUCAACUUUAUUUUGAUGUAAUGCUCAUCUUUAAUAGAAAAAAAAAAUCAUCAAAAUCAGUGACUAUAAGCUUUUUCAUCAGAGAUGAAUAAAUAAAAAAGACUAAUGUUUAAAAUGAAUUUUUAUUGCACUCUUAUAUAUUAUACUUGCUUAUGGUCUCAUUGAGAGGAUAUAAAAAGUUUUAAAA